UACGGGGGGAGCAAGCGUUGUUCGGAUUUACUGGGCGUAAAGGGCGCGUAGGCGGUCGUGACAAGUCACUUGUGAAAUCUCCGGGCUUAACUCGGAACGGUCAAGUGAGACUGUCGGACUAGAGUACAGAAGGGGCAACUGGAAUUCUCGGUGUAGCGGUGAAAUGCGUAGAUAUCGAGAGGGACACCUGCGGCGAAGGCGGGUUGCUGGGCUGAUACUGACGCUGAGGCGCGAAAGCCAGGGGAGCGAACGGG
RNAcentral lists this ribosomal RNA (254 nucleotides) under uncultured bacterium. RNAcentral describes it as "partial 16S ribosomal RNA". It matches the Rfam family "Bacterial small subunit ribosomal RNA", at positions 524 to 776 of the family's 1533-position model. The record is from RNAcentral.